RNAcentral lists this ribosomal RNA (792 nucleotides) under uncultured bacterium. RNAcentral describes it as "bacterial SSU rRNA". It matches the Rfam family "Bacterial small subunit ribosomal RNA", at positions 636 to 1428 of the family's 1533-position model. The record is from RNAcentral.
UNUGACUUGAGUGCAGAAGGGGAGAGUGGAAUUCCAUGUGUAGCGGUGAAAUGCGUAGAUAUAUGGAGGANCACCAGUGGCGAAAGCGGCUCUCUGGUCUGUCACUGACGCUGAGGCUCGAAAGCGUGGGUAGCGAACAGGAUUAGAUACCCUGGUAGUNCACGCCGUAAACGAUGAGUGCUAGGUGUUAGGCCCUUUCCGGGGCUUAGUGCCGGAGCUAACGCAAUAAGCACUCCGCCUGGGGAGUACGACCGCAAGGUUGAAACUCAAAGGAAUUGACGGGGGCCCGCACAAGCGGUGGAGCAUGUGGUUUAAUUCGAAGCAACGCGAAGAACCUUACCAGGUCUUGACAUCCCGAUGCUAUUCUUAGAGAUAGGAAGUUACUUCGGUACAUCGGAGACAGGUGGUGCAUGGUUGUCGUCAGCUCGUGUCGUGAGAUGUUGGGUUAAGUCCCGCAACGAGCGCAACCCUUAUUGUUAGUUGCCAUCAUUAAGUUGGGCACUCUAGCGAGACUGCCGGUAAUAAACCGGAGGAAGGUGGGGAUGACGUCAAAUCAUCAUGCCCCUUAUGACCUGGGCUACACACGUGCUACAAUGGUCGGUACAACGAGUUGCGAGCCGGUGACGGCAAGCUAAUCUCUGAAAGCCGAUCUCAGUUCGGAUUGGAGGCUGCAACUCGCCUCCAUGAAGUCGGAAUCGCUAGUAAUCGCGGAUCAGCACGCCGCGGUGAAUACGUUCCCGGGCCUUGUACACACCGCCCGUCACACCACGAGAGUUUGUAACACCCGAAGUC